GACGAACGCUGGCGGCGUGCCUAAUACAUGCAAGUCGAGCGGACGAAUCGAAAGCUUGCUUUUGAUUCGUUAGCGGCGGACGGGUGAGUAACACGUGGGCAACCUGCCCUGUAGGCGGGGAUAACACCGAGAAAUCGGUGCUAAUACCGGAUAACACGAAAUGUCGCAUGACGUUUCGUUGAAAGACGGCGCAAGCUGUCGCUACAGGAUGGGCCCGCGGCGCAUUAGCUAGUUGGUGAGGUAACGGCUCACCAAGGCGACGAUGCGUAGCCGACCUGAGAGGGUGAUCGGCCACACUGGGACUGAGACACGGCCCAGACUCCUACGGGAGGCAGCAGUAGGGAAUCUUCCGCAAUGGACGAAAGUCUGACGGAGCAACGCCGCGUGAGCGAAGAAGGCCUUCGGGUCGUAAAGCUCUGUUGUUAGGGAAGAACAAGUAACGCAGUAACUGGCGUUACCGUGACGGUACCUAACGAGAAAGCCACGGCUAACUACGUG
RNAcentral lists this ribosomal RNA (498 nucleotides) under uncultured bacterium. RNAcentral's name for it is "partial 16S ribosomal RNA". It matches the Rfam family "Bacterial small subunit ribosomal RNA", at positions 28 to 507 of the family's 1533-position model. The record is from RNAcentral.